This 86-nucleotide transfer RNA is filed under the name Candidatus Woesearchaeota archaeon. RNAcentral describes it as "tRNA-Arg". It matches the Rfam family "tRNA". From Rfam's summary of the family: Transfer RNA (tRNA) molecules are approximately 80 nucleotides in length. Their secondary structure includes four short double-helical elements and three loops (D, anti-codon, and T loops). Lineage: Archaea; Nanobdellati; Candidatus Woesearchaeota. The record is from RNAcentral.
GACCCUGUAGCGCAGUCUGGAUGCGAGACACAUAGCGCGACGGCCUUCUAAGCCGUAGGUCGGGGGUUCGAAUCCCUCCAGGGUCA